UACGUAGGGAGCAAGCGUUGUCCGGAAUCAUUGGGCGUAAAGCGCGCGUAGGCGGCCCUGUAAGUCCGUUGUGAAAGUCAAAGGCUCAACCUUUGAAAGCCGAUGGAUACUGCAGGGCUAGAGUACGUUCGGGGCAGAGGGAAUUCCUGGUGUAGCGGUGAAAUGCGUAGAGAUCAGGAAGAACACCGGUGGCGAAGGCGCUCUGCUAGGCCGUAACUGACACUGAGGGACGAAAGCUAGGGGAGCGAACGGG
RNAcentral lists this ribosomal RNA (253 nucleotides) under uncultured bacterium. RNAcentral's name for it is "partial 16S ribosomal RNA". It matches the Rfam family "Bacterial small subunit ribosomal RNA", at positions 524 to 776 of the family's 1533-position model. The record is from RNAcentral.